GACGAACGCUGGCGGCGUGCUUAACACAUGCAAGUCGAACGGAAAGGCCCUGCUUUUGUGGGGUGCUCGAGUGGCGAACGGGUGUGUAACACGUGAGUAACCUGCCCUUGACUUUGGGAUAACUUCAGGAAACUGGGGCUAAUACCGGAUAGGAGCUCCUGCUGCAUGGUGGGGGUUGGAAAGUUUCGGCGGUUGGGGAUGGACUCGCGGCUUAUCAGCUUGUUGGUGGGGUAGUGGCUUACCAAGGCUUUGACGGGUAGCCGGCCUGAGAGGGUGACCGGCCACAUUGGGACUGAGCUACGGCCCAGCCUCCUACGGUACGCAGCAGUGUGGAAUAUUGCACAAUGGGCGGAGGCCUAAUGCAGCAACGCCGCGUGCGGGAUGACGGCCUUCGGGUUGUAAACCGCUUUCGCCUGUGACGAAGCGUUAGUGACGGUAAUGGGUAAGGUAGCACCGGCUAACUACGUG
RNAcentral lists this ribosomal RNA (468 nucleotides) under uncultured bacterium. RNAcentral's name for it is "partial 16S ribosomal RNA". It matches the Rfam family "Bacterial small subunit ribosomal RNA", at positions 28 to 507 of the family's 1533-position model. The record is from RNAcentral.